GCCAGGCGUGGUGGCGCACGCCUGUAAUCCCAGCUACUUGGGAGGCUGAGACAGAAGAAUUGCCUGAACCUGGGAGAUGGAGGUUGUAGUGAGCCAAGAUCGUGCCACUGAACUUCAGCCUGGGUGAAAAAGCAAGACUCCAUCUCAA
RNAcentral lists this non-coding RNA (148 nucleotides) under Nomascus leucogenys (northern white-cheeked gibbon). Lineage: Eukaryota; Metazoa; Chordata; Mammalia; Primates; Hylobatidae. The record is from Rfam by way of RNAcentral.